Molecule: ribosomal RNA, 791 nt
Filed under: uncultured organism
Description: bacterial SSU rRNA
Rfam family: Bacterial small subunit ribosomal RNA
Source: RNAcentral
GAAUUCCCGGUGUAGCGGUAAAAUGCGCAAGAGAUCGGGAGGAACACCAGUGGCGGAGUCGGUUCCCUGGGGCACACCUGACGCUGAGAGACGAAAGCUAGGGGAGCGAACAGGAUUAGAGACCCUGGUAGUCCUAGCCCUAAACGAUGAAUGCUAGGUGUGGGAUCGAAUGGUUCCGUGCCGGAGCGAACGCGAUAAGCAUUCCGCCUGGGGAGUACGGCCGCAAGGUUAAAACUCAAACGAAUUGACGGGGCCCCGCACAAGCAGCGGAGCGUGUGGUUUAAUUCGAUGCUACACGAAGAACCUUACCUGGGUUUGACAUGUAGGUGGUAGUGAAUCGAAAGGUGAACGACCCUUCGGGGAGCCUACACAGGUGCUGCAUGGCUGUCGUCAGCUCGUGCCGUGAGGUGUCGGGUUAAGUCCCGUAACGAGCGCAACCCUUGCUCCUAGUUACAAGUGUCUAGGGGGACUGCCGGCGGAAAGCCGGAGGAAGGUGGGGAUGACGUCAAGUCAGCAUGGCCCUUAUAUCCAGGGCUACACACACGCUACAAUGGUCGGUACAAAGGGCAGCGAAACCGCGAGGCGGAGCGAAUCCGAGAAAAGCCGAUCGUAGUUCGGAUAGCAGGCUGCAACCCGCCUGCUUGAAGCUGGAGUUGCUAGUAACCGCGCGUCAGCCAUAGCGCGGUGAUACGUUCCCGGGGCUUGUACUACACCGCCCGUCACGUCAUGGGAGUCGGUAACGCCUGAAGCCGGUAGUCUAACUGGAAACAGGAGACGCUGUCGAGGGCGGG